RNAcentral lists this ribosomal RNA (627 nucleotides) under Zanthoxylum capense. Its description in RNAcentral is "eukaryotic LSU rRNA". The stretch from base 247 to 402 matches the Rfam family "5.8S ribosomal RNA". The record is from RNAcentral. Lineage: Eukaryota; Viridiplantae; Streptophyta; Magnoliopsida; Sapindales; Rutaceae.
UCGAUGCCUCUGCGAGAGCAGAACGACCCGCGAACCCGUCACGACACCAGCGGGGGGAGCGCCUCCCGGCCUCCCCCCCUCGCCGCCGCGGGUGCGGGACCAGUCCCGUUCCCCGCGGGGGCGCGCAACGAACCCCCGGCGCGGACCGCGCCAAGGAAAUCCAACGGGAGAGUGCGCGCGCUCCCGGGGCCCCGGACAUGGUGCGCUCCGGGACGCCGCUCCUUCUUUCGAAAUUAUGUCUGUAACGACUCUCGGCAACGGAUAUCUCGGCUCUCGCAUCGAUGAAGAACGUAGCGAAAUGCGAUACUUGGUGUGAAUUGCAGAAUCCCGUGAACCAUCGAGUCUUUGAACGCAAGUUGCGCCCCAAGCCUCCGGGCCGAGGGCACGUCUGCCUGGGUGUCACGCAUCGUUGCCCCACCCCGCCCCCUCACCUGAGGGGCCCGGCGGUGCGGGCGGACACUGGCCUCCCGUGCGCUCCGCGCCGCGGUUGGCCGAAAUCCGAGUCCCCGGCGGCCGGUGCCGCGACGAUCGGUGGUGAGAACAAGCCUCUCGAGCUAGCGUCGCGCGCCCGUCUCUCCGAGUCGGGACUCAGGGACCCUGUGGCUCCGCGCAAGCGGCGCUCGCAUC